RNAcentral lists this ribosomal RNA (466 nucleotides) under uncultured bacterium. Its description in RNAcentral is "partial 16S ribosomal RNA". It matches the Rfam family "Bacterial small subunit ribosomal RNA", at positions 28 to 507 of the family's 1533-position model. The record is from RNAcentral.
GAUGAACGCUGGCGGCGUGCUUAACACAUGCAAGUCGAACGGAAAGGCCCAAGCUUGCUUGGGUGCUCGAGUGGCGAACGGGUGAGUAACACGUGGGUGAUCUGCCCUGCACUUUGGGAUAAGCCUGGGAAACUGGGUCUAAUACCGGAUAGGACCAUCGUUUAGUGUCGGUGGUGGAAAGUUUUUCGGUGUGGGAUGAGCUCGCGGCCUAUCAGCUUGUUGGUGGGGUAAUGGCCUACCAAGGCGUCGACGGGUAGCCGGCCUGAGAGGGUGUACGGCCACAUUGGGACUGAGAUACGGCCCAGACUCCGACGGGAGGCAGCAGUGGGGAAUAUUGCACAAUGGGCGCAAGCCUGAUGCAGCGACGCCGCGUGGGGGAUGACGGCCUUCGGGUUGUAAACUCCUUUCGCCAAGGACGAAGCGUUUUGUGACGGUACUUGGAGAAGAAGCACCGGCUAACUACGUG